This 373-nucleotide ribosomal RNA is filed under the name uncultured fungus. RNAcentral describes it as "eukaryotic LSU rRNA". It matches the Rfam family "Eukaryotic large subunit ribosomal RNA", at positions 40 to 398 of the family's 3401-position model. Lineage: Eukaryota; Fungi. The record is from RNAcentral.
AUAUCAAUAAGCGGAGGAAAAGAAACCAACAGGGAUUGCCUCAGUAACGGCGAGUGAAGCGGCAACAGCUCAAAUUUGAAAUCUGGCUCUUUUCAGGGUCCGAGUUGUAAUUUGUAGAAGGAUGCUUCGAGCGUCGGCUACCGGUCUAAGUUCCUUGGAACAGGACGUCAUAGAGGGUGAGAAUCCCGUAUGUGAUCUGGUUCACCUUCGCUCAUGUGAAGCUCUUUCGACGAGUCGAGUUGUUUGGGAAUGCAGCUCUAAAAUAGGAUGGUAAAUUUCAUCUAAAGCUAAAUACUUGGCCAGAGACCGAUAGCGCACAAGUAGAGUCGAUCGAAAGAUGAAAAGCACUUUGGAAAGAGAGUCUAAAAAGUAC